RNAcentral lists this non-coding RNA (79 nucleotides) under human gut metagenome. RNAcentral describes it as "Cyclic di-GMP-I riboswitch". It matches the Rfam family "c-di-GMP-I riboswitch aptamer", at positions 10 to 83 of the family's 87-position model. From Rfam's summary of the family: GEMM was predicted in a large-scale screen for bacterial structured RNA regulatory elements. Genes associated with GEMM are involved in a diverse array of functions, including chemotaxis regulation, signal transduction, secretion and chitin. RNAcentral also lists the same sequence under 2 other names. The record is from RNAcentral.
UUAGGCAAACCUGUCGAAAGGCAGGGACGCAAAGUUAAGUGUCUAAAUGGGGAGGAACACCAUAUGAUUGACUGACUGC